CCGUAGGUGAAACCUGCGGAGGGAUCAUUACACAAUAAAAUACGAAGGCCGUUCGCGGCUGGACUAUUUAUUACCCUUGUCUUUUGCGCACUUGUUGUUUCCUGGGCGGGUUCGCUCGCCACCAGGACCACAAUAUAAACCUUUUUUAUGCAGUUGCAAUCAGCGUCAGUAUAACAAAUGUAAAUCAUUUACAACUUUCAACAACGGAUCUCUUGGUUCUGGCAUCGAUGAAGAACGCAGCGAAAUGCGAUACGUAGUGUGAAUUGCAGAAUUCAGUGAAUCAUCGAAUCUUUGAACGCACAUUGCGCCCUUUGGUAUUCCAAAGGGCAUGCCUGUUCGAGCGUCAUUUGUACCCUCAAGCUUUGCUUGGUGUUGGGCGUUUUUGUCUUUGGCCCGCCAAAGACUCGCCUUAAAAUGAUUGGCAGCCGGCCUACUGGUUUCGCAGCGCAGCACAUUUUUGCGCUUGCAAUCAGCAAAAGAGGACGGCAAUCCAUCAAGACUCCUUCUCACGAAACUGGAGCCUAGUCCAUCCCUAUGGGCGACUUGAAUUCGUAUAGUUAAUUCGCCUCCUU
RNAcentral lists this ribosomal RNA (572 nucleotides) under Bipolaris sp. 5137. Its description in RNAcentral is "eukaryotic LSU rRNA". The stretch from base 193 to 346 matches the Rfam family "5.8S ribosomal RNA". Lineage: Eukaryota; Fungi; Ascomycota; Dothideomycetes; Pleosporales; Pleosporaceae. The record is from RNAcentral.